GACGAACGCUGGCGGCGUGCUUAACACAUGCAAGUCGAACGAAGAGCGAUGGAAGCUUGCUUCUAUCAAUCUUAGUGGCGAACGUGUGAGUAACGCGUAAUCAACCUGCCCUUCAGAGGGGGACAACAGUUGGAAACGACUUCUAAUACCGCAUACUAUCUAAUCUCGGCAUCGAGGAUAGAUGAAAGGUGGCCUCUACAUGUAAGCUAUCACUGAAGGAGGGGAUUGCGUCUGAUUAGCUAGUUGGAGGGGUAACGGCCCACCAAAGGGAUGCUCAGUAGCCGGUCUGAGAGGAUGAACGGCCACAUUGGGACUGAGACACGGCCCAGACUCCUACGGGAGGCAGCAGUGGGGAAUCUUCCGCAAUGGACGAAAGUCUGACGGAGCAACGCCGCGUGAGUGAUGACGGCCUUCGGGUUGUAAAGCUCUGUUAAUCGGGACGAAAGGCCUUCUUGCGAAUAGAGAGAAGGAUUGACGGUACCGGAAGAGAAAGCCACGGCUAACUACGUG
RNAcentral lists this ribosomal RNA (510 nucleotides) under uncultured bacterium. Its description in RNAcentral is "partial 16S ribosomal RNA". It matches the Rfam family "Bacterial small subunit ribosomal RNA", at positions 28 to 507 of the family's 1533-position model. The record is from RNAcentral.